AGGGUUUGAUCCUGGCUCAGGAUGAACGCUGGCGGCGUGCUUAACACAUGCAAGUCGAACGAACCUUCGGGUUAGUGGCGGACGGGUGAGUAACGCGUGAGAAUCUGCCCUCAGGAGGGGGAUAACGGUUGGAAACGACCGCUAAUACCCCAUAUGCCUACUGGUGAAAUGAAUUUCGCCUGAGGAUGAGCUCGCGUCUGAUUAGCUUGUUGGUGAGGUAAUGGCUCACCAAGGCUUCGAUCAGUAGCUGGUCUGAGAGGAUGAUCAGCCACACUGGGACUGAGACACGGCCCAGACUCCUACGGGAGGCAGCAGUGGGGAAUUUUCCGCAAUGGGCGAAAGCCUGACGGAGCAACGCCGCGUGAGGGACGAAGGCCUCUGGGCUGUAAACCUCUUUUCUCAAGGAAGAAGAUAUGACGGUACUUGAGGAAUAAGCCACGGCUAAUUCCGUGCCAGCAGCCGCGGUAAUUC
Molecule: ribosomal RNA, 471 nt
Filed under: uncultured bacterium
Lineage: Bacteria
Description: bacterial SSU rRNA
Rfam family: Bacterial small subunit ribosomal RNA
Source: RNAcentral